AGAUUCAGACCCGAUUAUCAAGAUCUAGUAAUUAUUAGUGGCCCUAGGAUAAUGGGUCUGGUUGAUAAAGUCUAUCGUUAAAGCCUUGAUUUAUUUGAUUGUACAAUAUUAGCCUCGCUCAGUAGGGAUUAAAUACACCGUGACAAUAAGAACGGAGAGAGAACAUGUAGGCUAAUGUAGAAUAAACUACAUCCACCGGUAGUAAUAUAUACAUUUAUAUAUCAACACCAUCAGGCAUUGUUGUAUGGAUAUAAAUAUAUAAGAUUUCAAGAAUCAGAAGUAGCAUUUCUUAGCUUGGAGAUCCUGUUGUGAAAGUGUUAUCUUACGUUGGGAUUGUCCUGAUUUGGCGUGUGUUCAAUUUUUUAAAAAGGGAAUCUAAUUACAAAAUGUCUUUCCUGAAGAUGUUUAAGAAAAAAUCUAAGGAUGACGAGAAGAAACGCGAGGAGGAUGAUGAACAAGAAAAGCGACGGUUACGUCAUUCGCUCUCAAUAUCUCGAUCAGGACGAUUCAAACAAAAAAAGCGAGAAAGAUCUGGCUUAUUGGAUAAGCCCGAAUUAUAUGAUGGUCCCGAAAACGAACAACCUGAUAACAUAAGUCCCAAAGCUCAAACCCGAAAUGGACAUUCCACUUCUCCUAAUAACAGCUGCCGAGAAGCGAGUAAACCUAUGCAAAGAGUUGCUUUGGGGCCUUCAAUUAUCUCUUGACCAUCCUCUGAAGGUGAUGAAAAAACAGCAUCCUUAAUAAAGACAAAUUCGACGGUUGAUUAUAAAUUGUGAAAUUUAGAUCCCGGACAACGGACAGUGAAAACGAUAGUAUUCCAAUAAGACAACAUAUCACAUACGGAAUGUAGUUUAUUGGGUGUAUUUGUUUGGUUGUGUGUAUCACUGUGUCUCUAUUCUAUUGACCGAUCUCCAGUUGAUGUCAACGAAAUUCUCAUAUCUUUAAUGUAAAUAAAAAUGAAAACGUGAUAAACAUGUAUUCUGUGUAAUACUGAUGAAUAAUAACAACUGAUGAUAUACAUAUUUUAUGUGUAAUACUAAUGAUAGUGUAGCUGAUGAUAUACAUUCUAAUGUGUAUCACGUGUAAUACUGGCGAUAAUGUAGCUGAUGAUAUACAUGUUUAAUGUGUAAUACUGAUGAUAAAAGCCGAUGAUGAUAUAAAUAUAUGAUGUGUCAUACUGAUGAUAAUAGUCGCUGAUGUUUACUAACUGAUGAUAAUAGCUAUGAUUCACGCAUGUAUUGAUGAUAAGAACUGAUGAUGCAUGUCUAUUAGUGACUGUACGAGUGCCUAUAUUUACAUAGUUCAAUGAUUUGUGUUCUGUAUUAUAUACUUAUAAUAUUUUGUACCUGUACAUACACACUAUUAUUGCGCUAUCCCAUUUAUUAUUUUUACUUAUAUUGUCAUUUUCAGUCUUAUCGAUUUAAGUAGUUCUAUAUUACGUACGAUAUAUUUUAAAAGUGUAGGAUUUUCAAUCAUAACUCGUAUGGCCAUUCAAAACACAGUCUUCAAAAGCGAACGACAGCACUCGACUUAGUGAAAUAAUAUGCAAUGGAGUUUAACGUCCUAAUUUCCUGCACAAACAGUCACAGUGAAGACGGACACAUGUCUGACAAUGUCCAACGUCUUACUCUUAUUUCGAAUUCCAACUGUCAAGUAACGGGAUGUCAAAAUUAGAUUUUAAUAUUACACAAGACAAAUAGUUGUUUGAACUAUCCAAUCAUAUAGUUAGGGUUGGGCAGUGGUAUCAGGUGUUCCGGUCAGACCUAGCCCCCCCCCCCACCACACACAACCAAAAAUGAACCAAACACAUCUGAAUAUGAAAAUAAAAAAAAAACGAAAUAUUAGAAAGACCACCCAAGCUUAAUAUUAAUGAUGUUUAGAAGAUUAAUAUGUCAUGUAAAGAUUUGACCAAUAUUGUCAUUUACAUUGCACUGCAUAACAAUGAUUUAUACGGGCAGGACGUUGACCUCCAUUUUGAAGUUAAACCCCCGCUGUUCGUCUUAUUCAUAUUAAAGCGAUUACUACCAAAUUCCAUUGUCUGAAUUUAGUCACCCGUAAAAUUUGUUACCUUCAAGUUAACUAAUAAAGUUAGGUAACUUUGCUAUGAUCAAAGGAACGUCUGGUUUAAAUAUGCGAUAAUAACAUUUGCAAUGAGCAAUUAAUAUAUUAGUUAUUAUCAUUUAAAAGUAAAGCUUUGUUGUAACAUGAUGUUAAUUUAUUUCAUGUAAAACUAUGUUCAUAUACUCAUUUUAAUUAAUUUUGUUUGCUAUUUAUGACUAUAAUGCCGAAAAAUUGUUAUUUAAAAAAUGGUUCUAAUAACUGACACAAUUUUUGUAUAUUGAAUAUAUGUGUUAGACAUAAAUGAAUAUCAAAAGGAAGAUUGCACUUAUCGCCAAAGUUUUAUACACUUUAAAUUUCUUAAUAAUUUAGGAAUGGAAAAUAUCUUUAAGUUUUGAUAAUUUAGAAAUACAGUACAAUAAUUGAAAGUCAUUAACGUCUCAUAUGACAGUGGUGGCCAUGGGUCGAUGAGACUGUAAUGCUAAAUUUAAAUCGAAAUUUCCCAUUCGGUCACUGUCUUAAUGAUACCACCAAUUCAAGUAUCGUAUUUGUUGUGUGCUUUGCAUGCUUGUUUACUUUAAUAUCAGGCCAAAAAAAAGACACCUUUGUUUACGGUUACUAGGGUCGGGCGGUCGGAAAUCGUCUGUUUUUCGGUCGGAAAAUCAUCAAUUUUUCGUUGGGUUUGUAUUAUACAUUUCCAAGCGUUUUUAGCAUGAAUACCGAAAUUUCACUGUUGAAAUUUGUCUAGAGAAAAUAAGACCAAGAUCGAGUUAUAAGGCCUCGGAAAUGCGACAAAAUGUUUACGCUCGGCGAUUUUGUUUUUUAAAAAUAGUGUUGAUUAGGUAAGCGUAAACACAGAUAACUUUUUUGGGCCUUAUAAGGAAUGUCUAAAUGCUUUUCAGCUAAUGUUUCUUAGGUUUUUCUUUCUGAAGUAAAUGAUUAUAGGUAGAUUUAUUUAGUUAUUGAUUUUAUCUCUCAAAAUUUUAAAGUAUUUAUAAUAUGUCAAUUGUAAAACUAUGAAAGCAAUAUACAUGUAUGUAUAUAUUUACAGAUCGAUAGAUCAAUCAUCUUUCUAUACUAUCGAUCAUCAUCAUCUCAAUUAUUUUUAAUAAAAUGAUUGCUGUAAAAAUA
Molecule: long non-coding RNA, 3189 nt
Organism: Patella vulgata (common limpet)
Lineage: Eukaryota; Metazoa; Mollusca; Gastropoda; Patellidae
Exons: 2
Source: RefSeq, a predicted model, not a curated record